RNAcentral lists this long non-coding RNA (1941 nucleotides) under Gallus gallus (chicken). Lineage: Eukaryota; Metazoa; Chordata; Aves; Galliformes; Phasianidae. The record is from RNAcentral.
UAUGAUUCUUAGCUCUGGUAGAUGGACUUGAAAAGCAUUGCAGAGGUCCAAGGGAGCUGCGUUUGUGGAUAAGGGCAAAUUCACUGUAUAGAUAUUGAAAUGCUCAGACACGGGACAGGGAGAAAUUAGGAAAGGUGGACUUUGUCUUUAAGUCACCCGGUAAUUUGUGAUUUACAGCUUUGCUACAUGCAGGGUGAGUGCGCUUACCGCAGAGGGGAUGGGCUGAGAAAUUUCCACAACCUGUUCCUCAAGGAAAAGUACUGAGCGUGAUAGAUUGCAUUUUGAUCUCCAUUGCCGAACAUCUGCGGCCAGAUCCUCAGUUGACUUCUGACCUUCCAUCUUGGGGUGUCUGGCCGUAGUUUAUAUUUCAGCAUUAUUACACAUGCUGUUGCAGGCAGCGUGCUAUUUUCCUCAAAGAGAGGCCUGAGAUUGAUUAAGCUACAGAAUGAUCACUUUUUGUCCCCCUAUAGGGGGAUGUUUUCUGUCUAAGGCUGGAUUCCUCCUGCCCUCAGAACAUUACUCUCUCUCACAUUAAGGAGACAGGACAGCUAUUUUUCAGAGACUGUUGGUUGAUUUAUUAUAUGCUUUCUUCUGAUUUCUUCCAUCCCUUCCACAUUAGAGCAAGUACAGGCUGACUAUCCCUGGAUUUGAGGAACGUUCUGGGAGAAAUCCCUGCCCUGCUGGUGCAAUAAUACAGCCCCCAGGAACUCCAGACUCUUAGAUUUUUCCCCAUGAGGCUGAGUUAUGGUCUGGCACUGGUUGUUCCGCCAGUGUAAUUUCAGUGGAGAUUUUCCAGAUUUACAUCAGUUUUAGUAGAUUUAGAGCUGAUCACCACUUGGAAGACCCUAUUUUAGCUAGCUUAAGAAAAAACUGGUGGAGUAUUUAUUAGGGAAUUAGCACAUCUAGCAUAAGGAUCACAUUUCCUGCAAUAUGCUCCAUCUUCAAGCAUGCAUGUUCUUGGGAGAUGUAGUUCUCUGUAAUUGUUUUAGAGGGUUUUGAAAAACUGUUUUCAAUAAAUAAAAACUGCUCAAGUCAUCAUAUUUUAACCCAGCGGAAAUGUAAGUAUGCAUACACCAACUUUUUGCUGGCAAACCACAAUUCCAGCAUCUUGUUAUCUCACCUAAAAUCUUGAUUGGCCUUCAUGCUAGGGGAAGACUCCAGUUGUCUGUUUGACAAAGCAGCUGAGUUGUUUGCUCUUUCCUGUACGUUUAUCCCACCUCAUCUUUUAGAAAGCCUUCAUUUCCUGAGCUUAUCUUAUUUGUCAAGGUGGUUCCCCCUACCCACUUCUCCCUCUUUACAUUGUUCUUUCUUUUCUGCAAGUUUCCAGCCUCCAGGUCUCAGGGAAAGUACACUGGCAGCUGCUGAAGUGUGUUAUCACUGGACUGCAGGCACUGCCUCUCUGCCUCAUUUUCCUGGUAUCCUCAUCAGCUUCCACAGACCUUAAUCAUUCAUUUUCACAUAAAAGUUUCCUACUGCUGGUGCUAAGUUUCUCAGCUGCACCACAUCUGAACUGUACAAGCUGCUGAGCCAAGAGUGGGUUUGACCUAUUACUCAUGCAGGUGUAGAUCAGGUUAAACCUUGCUUUGAAGUCAAUACCGUUAGUUUAAACCUGGAGCAACCAUAAGAGGGACCUGUCAGUGUGAGGUGAGCUGCCUGCGUCUAUUACUGAUAUGAACACUGAUGUCUCCAGACUGUUUCACAGCUGUUGCUCUUCGCAGAGGGCCAUGACAUGCGAUUCAAUUUAUUUAAGGUACAGAAGGACGUGCUCUGUAGAUUAUUCCAGCAGAUAAGUUUCUUUCUGAGAAACAAGCUCAACCAGGAGAUGUUGCCAUGAAAUCUGGACCUUUUAAGGUAAGUCAAGUAUUUGCAGUAACAGAUGAAAUUUUAUAUGUGUCACUGUGGAACAACAGUGCUAGACAUGACAGGUGAGGCUUCCUUUUG